Molecule: ribosomal RNA, 448 nt
Filed under: uncultured bacterium
Lineage: Bacteria
Description: bacterial SSU rRNA
Rfam family: Bacterial small subunit ribosomal RNA
Source: RNAcentral
UAGCCAGACUCCUACGGGAGGCAGCAGUGGGGAAUAUUGCACAAUGGGGGAAACCCUGAUGCAGCGACGCCGCGUGAGCGAUGAAGUAUUUCGGUAUGUAAAGCUCUAUCAGCAGGGAAGAAAAUGACGGUACCUGACUAAGAAGCCCCGGCUAACUACGUGCCAGCAGCCGCGGUAAUACGUAGGUGGCAAGCGUUGUCCGGAAUUACUGGGUGUAAAGGGAGCGCAGGCGGGAAGCCAAGUCAGCUGUGAAAACUACGGGCUUAACUUGUAGACUGCAGUUGAAACUGGUUUUCUUGAGUGAAGUAGAGGUUGGCGGAAUUCCGAGUGUAGCGGUGAAAUGCGUAGAUAUUCGGAGGAACACCAGUGGCGAAGGCGGCUUACUGGACGACUACUGACGCUGAGGCUCGAAAGCGUGGGGAGCAAACAGGAUUAGAUACCCGCGUAA